AGAGCGAACGCUGGCGGCAGGCCUAAUACAUGCAAGUCGAACGGAUCCUUCGGGAUUAGUGGCGGACGGGUGAGUAACGCGUGGGAACGUACCUUUUGGCUCGGAACAACACAGGGAAACUUGUGCUAAUACCGGAUAAGCCCUUACGGGGAAAGAUUUAUCGCCAAAAGAUCGGCCCGCGUCUGAUUAGCUAGUUGGUGAGGUAACGGCUCACCAAGGCGACGAUCAGUAGCUGGUCUGAGAGGAUGAUCAGCCACAUUGGGACUGAGACACGGCCCAAACUCCUACGGGAGGCAGCAGUGGGGAAUAUUGGACAAUGGGCGCAAGCCUGAUCCAGCCAUGCCGCGUGAGUGAUGAAGGCCCUAGGGUUGUAAAGCUCUUUGUGCGGGAAGAUAAUGACGGUACCGCAAGAAUAAGCCCCGGCUAACUUCGUGCCAGCAGCCGC
Molecule: ribosomal RNA, 445 nt
Filed under: uncultured bacterium
Lineage: Bacteria
Description: SSU rRNA
Rfam family: Bacterial small subunit ribosomal RNA
Source: RNAcentral